Molecule: ribosomal RNA, 301 nt
Filed under: uncultured bacterium
Lineage: Bacteria
Description: bacterial SSU rRNA
Rfam family: Bacterial small subunit ribosomal RNA
Source: RNAcentral
GCAGCCGCGGUAAUACGUAGGGUGCAAGCGUUAAUCGGAAUUACUGGGCGUAAAGCGUGCGCAGGCGGUUCUAUAAGACGGGCGUGAAAUCCCCGGGCUCAACCUGGGAAUUGCGUUUGUGACUGUAGAGCUAGAGUACGGCAGAGGGGGGUAGAAUUCCACGUGUAGCAGUGAAAUGCGUAGAUAUGUGGAGGAAUACCGAUGGCGAAGGCAGCCCCCUGGGUCGAUACUGACGCUCAUGCACGAAAGCGUGGGGAGCAAACAGGAUUAGAUACCCUGGUAGUCCACGCCCUAAACGAUG